This is a long non-coding RNA of Puntigrus tetrazona (Sumatra barb), 952 nucleotides long. RefSeq lists it as uncharacterized. The transcript is spliced from 3 exons. NCBI's taxonomy places the organism in Eukaryota, Metazoa, Chordata, Actinopteri, Cypriniformes, Cyprinidae. The record is from RefSeq and is a predicted model, not a curated record.
CUUAGUUUCAUAAUUAACACACAAGUGAGAUACGCUCCUGCAUAAUGAACUCUAUGUGAAUGACAGUAAAAGAAUCGCGGCUGUUUAACAGACCCAAACCAGUUAUCACGGCGAGCUUCUGUGUCCUAAUGACUCCUGCAGAGCUCGUCCAGCUCCUGCUCUACAGAGACAUUCAACCGGUGUAAAACUUCUGCUAUCGGCCGUGUGUGGGAGUCAUUUCUGUGCGAAGCAUCUGUCUCGGCUAUUCAUAUUUGCUUUUUGUGGUUCGGAUAUUGCAUGCAAUGACAAGGCAUAAAUGUGCGACAGUAGCUCGGCCGCUUUUAAAAACGGUGUAGCUUUUACGAGCUACUUUUGCCAGCGAUCAGCGCUGUAGCGUGACAAAACACUACAGCACUACUUGUGUUUUAUUGCAUUGUCUACAGUAUGGACCAGCGAGCCUGAGAGGAGACUGUGUGAAGAACUGGCGCAUUUGGAAAUAUGAAAUGUCUCCAGCAUUACCCAGAAUGCAACAACAGUGGUACCGGUCUAAUUUCGGAAACCGUCAAUGAGUGGUGACUUCACCAGUCCUCAGACAAAGUGCUAAAGGGAUUUUGCGGCAGAACAAGGAAGACACUCUUCACUUGCUGCUCACAGACAUAAACCAUCAGGAAUGUAGGGAGAGAACAUGCGGUUAUCAAAGAGCUACAAAUGUGACAAAACAUGUUAAUUAACCAAUGAAAUAUGUAUUUUAAUUUUAAGAAUUGUAGAUGCAAAGGCUUUUUUUUCAGGCUCUUUUGUGUAUGUUGAGUAAUUUCACUUUAAUGCCAAUAAAUAGGUCCUUUUCGUUGCCAUUAUAGUGAAAUAACUGAAAAUAAACGCAGGAGCCUGAUAAAAAUGCUCAUUUUAGAGGAAAAUUUCAAACGGCACUUGCAUUGAGUAUUUAACAAGAGUUUAAUAAAUAUUAUAUUACAGA